ACGUCUCCGAAUGUCAUUGAGGCUGUGACCAAGAUUAUUUCCAUCAGUGACAACGCAGAAGUGCUAAAGGUCGCUGAGACUGAUUGCAUCGGACACACCAUGAAGAAUGGCAAGCAAGGCACAAUUCUCCUGGGAAAAGGAAACAAUAUCACCACUAUAGACAAGAACAAGGAAGGCAAGCUUGCUGUGAUUGCUGGCCACUGAGAGAGAAGGGAUGUACUUAACCACAGAUGAAUUCCAUAGUCCUGUAGUCAUAGCAUGGACAGCCGAGAGAGGAAAAGGAAAGGAGGAAAGAGAGAGACAGCGAAUGCCAAAGUCAGGAAGACGUAAAAGACUUCUUUUGGGAAAACACGUGUCUUCGUUUGUGUGUGUGUGUAUGCUGCCGGCAGAUACCUCUAUGGAAUUUCAUUUAGAUGCUAGGAUAGUGACUAUAUUAUUUGUCAAGAUCAGUUUUUAUUCUGUAUUUAAAAAGAUGAUGAUCACGAUGAUAUAUCACUCUCACUCACUUAGAUUUACUUAAGCUUAAUGUACUACACUUUUCAUUUUUCAUAUUUAUUUACUAGUCAUGAAUGAUUUUGCUAAGUCCAAACCUUCCUUCCCCCCUUCCCCCCCUUCCCCCUGUGAUAAAUGUGUAAAGGACAUUAUUAUCUGCACUUGUGUUUGGAUGUGAUGACACUCGUGGUGUUGUUGGACAGGGUGAAAGAAGGCUCAAGCCCCCUGCUGUCAUUUGCAGUAC
RNAcentral lists this long non-coding RNA (736 nucleotides) under Penaeus japonicus. RNAcentral's name for it is "uncharacterized LOC122265469". The record is from RNAcentral. Lineage: Eukaryota; Metazoa; Arthropoda; Malacostraca; Decapoda; Penaeidae.